UACGUAGGGGGCAAGCGUUGUCCGGAAUUAUUGGGCGUAAAGCGCGCGCAGGCGGUUAUUUAAGUUGGGUGUUUAAUCCCGGGGCUCAACCUCGGGUCGCACCCAAAACUGGGUAACUUGAGUGCAGAAGAGGAGAGUGGAAUUCCACGUGUAGCGGUGAAAUGCGUAGAUAUGUGGAGGAACACCAGUGGCGAAGGCGACUCUCUGGGCUGUAACUGACGCUGAGGCGCGAAAGCGUGGGGAGCAAACAGG
RNAcentral lists this ribosomal RNA (252 nucleotides) under uncultured bacterium. RNAcentral describes it as "partial 16S ribosomal RNA". It matches the Rfam family "Bacterial small subunit ribosomal RNA", at positions 524 to 776 of the family's 1533-position model. The record is from RNAcentral.